RNAcentral lists this transfer RNA (88 nucleotides) under Mycolicibacterium hippocampi. RNAcentral describes it as "tRNA-Arg". Lineage: Bacteria; Bacillati; Actinomycetota; Actinomycetes; Mycobacteriales; Mycobacteriaceae. The record is from RNAcentral.
AACCGGGGGGCGAGCCCGGCCAGCGCGGCGUUGCGCUCGUCGUCGAGCGGGUGGCCGUGAUGGGUGAGUUCGACGCUCACCCGGUCAC